Molecule: ribosomal RNA, 1228 nt
Filed under: Phytophthora capsici
Lineage: Eukaryota; Oomycota; Peronosporomycetes; Peronosporales; Peronosporaceae
Description: eukaryotic LSU rRNA
Rfam family: Eukaryotic large subunit ribosomal RNA
Source: RNAcentral
UCCCCUAGUAACGGCGAGUGAAGCGGGAAGAGCUCAAGCUUAAAAUCUCCGUGCAAGUUUUGCGCGGCGAAUUGUAGUCUAUAGAGGCGUGGUCAGCGUGGGCGCUUGGGGCAAGUUCCUUGGAAGAGGACAGCAUGGAGGGUGAUACUCCCGUUCAUCCCUGAGUGGCUCGUGCGUACGACCCGUUUUCUUUGAGUCGCGUUGUUUGGGAAUGCAGCGCAAAGUAGGUGGUAAAUUCCAUCUAAAGCUAAAUAUUGGUGCGAGACCGAUAGCGAACAAGUACCGUGAGGGAAAGAUGAAAAGAACUUUGAAAAGAGAGUUAAAGAGUACCUGAAACUGCUGAAAGGGAACCGAAUCGUUUCCAGUGUCUAUAAUCCGUGGCAUAUUUCAUUGGCGAGCGUUUGCGUGCGUGUGCUGUGGCAGUGGCUUUUUUGGCUGCGCCUGGCGUGUGUGCUGUGAGUGUUUGCUGGUGCCCUGUGCUGCGGUGGGACGUCAAGGUCAGUUCGUAUGCUGCGGGAAAUGGCUGCCGAGGAGGUAGGGCUUACGCUCCGCGUUUGUCUGUUAUAUCUUGGUGGACGAGUCGUCGUGGUUGGGACUGAGGUGCCUACAACGUGCUUUUGAGUGGUUUGUGUCUCCGUGUGCGCCGUGUGCGGAUAGCUUGCUAUGCGUGUGUGGUUGUGUGUGGAUUGAUGCGGGCUUUAACUUGUCGCCGUUCGGGACGUUGACGAAAUGGAGCGAUCCGACCCGUCUUGAAACACGGACCAAGGAGUCUAACAUGUGUGCAAGUGUUAGGGUGUGGAAACCCCAGCGCGAAAUGAAAGUGAAGGGCAGCGCAAGUUGUCUGAGGUAGGAAACGUUGCGGGCCUCGGUCUGCGGCGUGGCACUAUCGACCGAUCAUGAACCUUCGUGGAGAAAGAUUUGAGUUUGAGCACAUAUGUUGGUACCCGAAAGAUGGUGAACUAUGCCUGAGUAGGGUGAAGCCAGGGGAAACUCUGGUGGAAGCUCGUAGCGAUUCUGACGUGCAAAUCGAUCGUCAAACUUGGGUAUAGGGGCGAAAGACUAAUCGAACCAUCUAGUAGCUGGUUCCCUCCGAAAUUUCCCUCAGGAUAGCAGCAACUUAUUUACGAUAGUUUUAUGAGGUAAAGCGAAUGAUUAGAGGAUUCGGGGAAGAAACUUCCUCGACCUAUUCUCAAACUUUAAAUCUGUAAGACCUGCAGGUUUCUUAAUU